AGGUUUGACCCCCACUCUUCUAUAUCUAUCUCUGUGCACCUGUGUAUUACGGCUGAAAGCUCCAAUUGUGGUUUAGUUUGUAGCUUAUUGGUGUUUUAAUGCUAAAUAAUGUUGUGAAUUUUAGGUUGAUUGGAUAUUUAAAAUGAUUAUAGUAUUUUUGGAAGUGGAUAAGCGGAGUUUGUGUUGUGGACGAUAAAGGUUUGCUUUUUAUUCUUGUAGGAUUCAAAUCGUAUUGAAACCUAGCACAGAAGAUUGCGAUGGGAUAUGGAAAUCAUGAUCUAGUGUAUCUCAUAUUUUCAUUAUUGUUAUGCUUGUAUCUUCUACUAUUUGAUAUCUGGAAUUUCACCCAGUAUAGUGCUGCUAAAUUUAGGAAUGAAGAGAGAGGAGGUUAUUUGAAAACC
Alnus glutinosa is the source of this 401-nucleotide long non-coding RNA. RefSeq lists it as uncharacterized. The record is from RefSeq and is a predicted model, not a curated record. The transcript is spliced from 2 exons. NCBI's taxonomy places the organism in Eukaryota, Viridiplantae, Streptophyta, Magnoliopsida, Fagales, Betulaceae.